RNAcentral lists this ribosomal RNA (429 nucleotides) under uncultured Winogradskyella sp. Its description in RNAcentral is "bacterial SSU rRNA". It matches the Rfam family "Bacterial small subunit ribosomal RNA", at positions 400 to 826 of the family's 1533-position model. Lineage: Bacteria; Pseudomonadati; Bacteroidota; Flavobacteriia; Flavobacteriales; Flavobacteriaceae. The record is from RNAcentral.
CGUGCAGGAAGACUGCCCUAUGGGUUGUAAACUGCUUUUAUACAGGAAGAAACCUCUUUACGUGUGGAGAGAUGACGGUACUGUAAGAAUAAGGACCGGCUAACUCCGUGCCAGCAGCCGCGGUAAUACGGAGGGUCCAAGCGUUAUCCGGAAUUAUUGGGUUUAAAGGGUCCGUAGGCGGAUAAUUAAGUCAGAGGUGAAAUCUUGCAGCUCAACUGUAAAAUUGCCUUUGAUACUGGUUAUCUUGAAUUAUUGUGAAGUAGGUGGAAUAUGUAGUGUAGCGGUGAAAUGCAUAGAUAUUACAUAGAAUACCAAUUGCGAAGGCAGAUUACUAACAACAAACUGACACUGAUGGACGAAAGCGUGGGGAGCGAACAGGAUUAGAUACCCUGGUAGUCCACGCCGUAAACGAUGGACACUAGCUGUUCG